GAAAUGUGAAAUUCGAGAAGAAGCUGCUAACUUCUAACUUUAGCGGUUAAAUCCCGUUAACAUUUCU
RNAcentral lists this transfer RNA (67 nucleotides) under Claassenia magna. Its description in RNAcentral is "tRNA-Ser". Lineage: Eukaryota; Metazoa; Arthropoda; Insecta; Plecoptera; Perlidae. The record is from RNAcentral.